AUUUGGAGUUCUUGCUACCUGUGGCUACCCAGCCAAGGACUUUAUGCCUCAGGCCCUCAUAUUCAGGACAUGUUUCUCAGGAAAAUUUUGGAAAUGUGAAAUUACAGAAAAGCCCAAAGGAAAACAAUGAAAAUCACUUGCAACUACAGUACUUAGAAAAAUACCUAUUAUCAUUUUGUUUUAUAUCCCCGCUGUCUUUACAUGUGCAACUUGCAUUUUGCAAGAGUUUAGAAAGUUGUAACCUUAUUUUUUAAAUCAGUGCAUAACUAAUAUUUUUUAUGCUAUUAAAAUAUUAUUUUAAGAUGUAGUGUCUAAUCAUGUGUCUGCAUCAUAAUCUACUUAAUCUCCCCUUGUUGACAAUUAGGUAGUUUCCAAUUUUUCACUAUCAAAAUAAUGCCACAACAAGAAGGAAAUCCUGGUAUAUAAAUAAUUUUACACAACACAGUUAUUUCCUUGA
This 457-nucleotide long non-coding RNA is filed under the name Pongo abelii (Sumatran orangutan). RNAcentral's name for it is "lincRNA". Lineage: Eukaryota; Metazoa; Chordata; Mammalia; Primates; Hominidae. The record is from RNAcentral.